CCUACGGGGGGCAGCAGUGGGGAAUAUUGCGCAAUGGGCGAAAGCCUGACGCAGCGACGCCGCGUGAGGGAUGAAGGUCUUCGGAUCGUAAACCUCUGUCAGCAGGGAAGAACGGUCACUGUGCUAAUCAGCAGUGAAUUGACGGUACCUGCAAAGGAAGCACCGGCUAACUCCGUGCCAGCAGCCGCGGUAAUACGGAGGGUGCGAGCGUUAAUCGGAAUUACUGGGCGUAAAGCGCUCGUAGGCGGUAUGUCAAGUCAAGGGUGAAAUCCCCUCGCUCAACGUGGGAACUGCCUUUGAAACUGGCAAACUGGAGUGUGUGAGAGGAUAGUGGAAUUCCAGGUGUAGGAGUGAAAGCCGUAGAUAUCUGGAGGAACAUCAGUGGCGAAGGCGACUAUCUGGCACAUAACUGACGCUGAGGAGCGAAAGCGUGGGUAGCAAACAGGAUUAGAUACCCCAGUAGUC
RNAcentral lists this ribosomal RNA (465 nucleotides) under uncultured bacterium. Its description in RNAcentral is "partial 16S ribosomal RNA". It matches the Rfam family "Bacterial small subunit ribosomal RNA", at positions 338 to 795 of the family's 1533-position model. The record is from RNAcentral.